This is a long non-coding RNA of Xyrauchen texanus (razorback sucker), 2480 nucleotides long. RefSeq lists it as uncharacterized. Lineage: Eukaryota; Metazoa; Chordata; Actinopteri; Cypriniformes; Catostomidae. The record is from RefSeq and is a predicted model, not a curated record. The transcript has 4 exons.
ACGGCAUUUCCCCUCCCACACACAGUGAAGAAGGACAUGGACUGAGGAUUCGACGUUCAUCUUCGGUUAAUGCAAGAGUACCAGAUGAUGACCUGCUAUGCAGUGGAAAUGUAAGUUCUGCACUUACACAUCUGAAAAGAGGGCACAACUUCUUAAACACUAGCGCAUAAGCCAUGAACAUAUUCUUGAAUUGUUUCAAUACCAUGUCUCCAUUCCGAGUGUCCAUGUCAUUCUAUGUAUUAAAAGUAAAUGGAUCAAAAAUAAAUUUCCAACCAAAACUUGAGGAAUGUAUGGGCUGUUGAGAAAUCUGUGGACAAUUUGAUUUGAGGGGAAAAAUAAGUUCUUCAAGAAAGUGAUCCGUGUUGCACAAAAUUAAAAAAAUGUCCCCUUAAUGCUGGCCAAGAAGCAUCAAAUGGCAGUUGCCUAACACAUGGAUGCCAUUUCUUUUUUCAAGCCAAGAGUACAAAGGACAGAGUGUGUAGUUCACUUGUCACAGACUUUUCUGACAAUGUUCAGGAAUUUCUGCAGCUGUGGAGUCCUAAUUGUAGUACCACACUUGUUUUAUCCAGUGUUUCCAUUGAUGGCAUUAAGUGCUGCCCAGACAUGGAGGUUUCAGUUGGAUGUUGUACAGGUUUGCCCAAGUUCAUGCAGAUUGAGAAAAUCUUGGCAAUCAACACUGACAUAAUGUUCCUCUGCAAACCACAGACUGCAUGGUUGAGCAUUUGCUCUCUUAUGAGUUGUGCAGUGUGCAUUCACUGCAAGUUGUUAAGCCUUCUCUAAUAAAUGACCCCUUCCCUUUGGCAGCUUCUAAUAUCCUUUUUUCUUUGUUUUGUAAUUUUAGUUUGCCAUGUCGAUGACUCUUCACGUUACUGUGCAUGACAGUGACAUGUCUGUGAAAUCUUGGAGAAGUGGCCAGCACUUUUCACAGAAAGCCAGAUUGUUUUCCUCCUCCAAAUCCCAGAGUUACUUUCUAUGAAUUGUGUAUUUGAAUGUUAAUAACCUCUCCAUAUUUUUGCUCGGGUCUUUGCAGAAUUCAAUCGCAUAUCUGGGGAAAAUCUGAGAUCUAGAUUCUAUCAUGAGAAUCAUGUUCACUCAAGUCAUCUGAUGUAACACAUGUUUGCACUGCAGUGCUUUAGGGUCUUCCCUGGGGAUGACCCAGAGGAAUUUUUCAGGAUGUUUUGAUUCAGAUGUAGAUGCAGGCUUCAGCGAAUUAGAUGUUGGACUGCUCACAGUUUUACCUGAAGGCAAGCCUGCCAAACGUCCACAUGCCCUCAAUGUGGAUGCAAUGGAGGGAAGAAUUGUCAUGGAUGAUGUCCCAAAUUUGCCACAUUCUGUAUGUCUCCACUUUGCUUUGAUCCAUGCUCUAAAUUUAGACCAUCCAAAGACAAUGAAGAACACAUUUUAUUUUAUUCAGCGGGUAUUUCUGUCUUUGGGACAAAAAAGACAUUUCUGUCUUUUAAGGGUCUCCAAACCCUUAAAAUGGUCUUUUAAGCUGAACUUGUUUCUGGCAUAUUUUGCUGUAAUUGCAGUUCAGUUUAAGAAUUUUUCCAAAUUGUAAAGGCUCUUUUUCUUUUUUCAUUAAAUAAAUACUUUUUUGGAGUUUGCACAGUGCCUGUUCUGCAAAUGCUCUAUACCUUGUUUAUGGUCCAGAUAUUAUGUUGUCAUGCAGCAGAGUGCGGCAAGAGGUCGAAGUCUUGCGAACAGAUUGUUUUUUUUAUUGUGUUGUUCUUAGAGUUUCAGCUGUUUAUUUCGUAAAUAAACAGUUGAGAAUUUCAAACUUGUUAAGUGUGUUUUUUGAACUAGAAAAAUGAUUUUCAGUUUACUUAAAGAGAAUGUGGAAACCGAUUGCACGUAGUAUUUUAAGUGUACCCCACUUAAAAGUGAUACAGUAAACUCAUGUUGAGAUUAGUGGUAUUUCAGAUAUAAAGUGAACAAAUUGUAUUAAAUUUAAGUUAAUUGACAUAGUAGAGUAAUCUACUAAAAAAUAAUUUGUAAGGUUACUAAUUAAUUUAUAGAAAAUUAACAAAAAAAAAUUAAGUUAACUACAAAUUUACUAUUAAGUUUAAUAACAAGUUGACAUUACUUGCAUAGGAACAUUAAUAUAACUUCAUUUUAGUAAGUACGUUUUCUUUGCAGAAAUAAGGCAAUAGGUUUCCUUAAUUUUUAAGUAAACUGAACAUGUACAAUUUUACAGUGUAUGAAGGUAACACAUUUAAAAUACCGUCUUGUGUAAGACGAUGUAUUGUUUAAACUGUAUUGUACAAAGUAUAGCUAAGUAAUAACAGUUAGAUAUUGAAGACAAAGUGUGCAAUUUGUAGUAUUUUGAAUAAGCCAAAGGUGUUACGGAGCACAUACUUUUUACUCAAAUAUAAUACACUUAUGGUAUAUUGUUUGUAUGUUUCGAAUACACUUGCAAUUAAUUUGUAAUGUACUUGCAAUUAAUUUGUAAUGUACUUGUAACACAAAUAAAGUAUACUUUA